This is a long non-coding RNA of Pygoscelis adeliae (Adelie penguin), 242 nucleotides long. RefSeq lists it as uncharacterized. The transcript is spliced from 2 exons. The record is from RefSeq and is a predicted model, not a curated record. NCBI's taxonomy places the organism in Eukaryota, Metazoa, Chordata, Aves, Sphenisciformes, Spheniscidae.
AGGCAGCCGCUGGCGUUGCGCGCCCCGGGGUUGCGCGCCCCGCGUCUCGCAGCGCCCCGCAGCUACGGUACAGCAGCUCUGAACUCGGAGGUCCCGCUCCCCUCAAAUAAUACCGAGGUUUUCAUCUCACCAUAUAUAACCUACGGGAUGUACGUGCUUUUCAUUUAAUUCUAGGACUGUGUCAUUUUUUGUUUAUUUCUCCAUUGAGGUUAAGAAUAGAAAAUAACACUACCAUGAAAAUU